CAAAUCUGCCCAAGUUUUGAUCAUGGCUAUUUUCAUAGCCUCCGCAAUCUCCCUCAACUUUGUAGCCAUAAAACCCCUCACUACAAUCAUAGUCUCCCAUGUUGUAGUCACAAUAAUCCCCGGCUAUCGAAGACAUGUUCUCCUUAUAUUACCUUUUAAACCUACAAAAUGAAAAAACAAUAUUAGUAGUACAAGAUCCUCACCAACACUCGUAUUCACUCACUUUUGUGAUCCCCAUAAUUUGGAGCGGCGAAUAUUGAAAUUUGCUUAUAUUCUGGUAGUCAUAAGAUGUCAAUUCUACUUGGCGGCCGGAAUAGAUUCUUGUUUGAUCUACUCAAGACACAACAAAAAAUCUACUUACGAACUUGAAACAAAGAAGUUACGACGAGUUAAAAAAUAAGAAAAGCACAUAAAUAACGAAGACACGAAAGAAACGGACUCAACAACUAAUCUACAACUAAUUAGGUGAUUACUAGUUCCUAAUUAGUAU
Molecule: long non-coding RNA, 490 nt
Filed under: Capsicum annuum
Lineage: Eukaryota; Viridiplantae; Streptophyta; Magnoliopsida; Solanales; Solanaceae
Description: long non-coding RNA (CANN_LNC012917)
Source: RNAcentral